Non-coding RNA from Arachis ipaensis, 248 nucleotides. The record is from RefSeq and is a predicted model, not a curated record. NCBI's taxonomy places the organism in Eukaryota, Viridiplantae, Streptophyta, Magnoliopsida, Fabales, Fabaceae.
UUGAACUGGAAAAGCUUCUCUAGUCAAAACUAUUUUGAUCCAAAUGGACUAUUCAUGUCAGUUCUUUGGUCGUGGCCCCUUCUUGUCAUUGCUAUGAUAAUUCUGAUCAACACACUUUUCUCCUUGUGUUACUUGAUUGUUAGGUGGAAAAGAGCUGAACAAAGACAUCGUGUAAGGAUUGCUUAUAGUAAGGAGGAAUAGUUGUUCAUACUAUCUUUUUUUGUCUUUCGGAUAAACUCUAAGAAAUU